Molecule: long non-coding RNA, 1053 nt
Filed under: Homo sapiens (human)
Lineage: Eukaryota; Metazoa; Chordata; Mammalia; Primates; Hominidae
Description: long intergenic non-protein coding RNA 348
Source: RNAcentral
GUAGCAGUGAGGACGACGAGAGGUCACUCUCGUCGCCAUUUUGUUUUUGGUGGUUUUUGUCUGGCUUCUUUACCGCAACCUGUUUUAUCAGCAAAGUCUUUAUAACCUGUAUUUUGUGCUGACCUCCUAUCUCAUCCUGUGACUUAGAAUGCCUUAACAACUGUCUGGAAUGCAGCCCGGUAUGCAUGGAAUUCUAUCUCUAUCCCUCCAAGAACUUUGUUUAAAUAAUUUUGCUUAAGAGGAAUGAAAUGUCCUUUUCUGUCAAGAUAUUUCAUGAUUCUGAAGAAGAAUUGGAGGUGAGACUUGAGAAAAUGGAGAAAAAGAUAUGCUUUGGAUUUUCUUGAAGACUAGAAGCUUUCUUAACCAUCCACCACCUUGUUGACUGGUUAUUAUUCUCUCUACCUUCUGUGAAACAAACUGAUGGAUACUAAUGGCACAAUUACACUUAUAGCUAGUCAGUUGCAUAGUUUAUGCACAUAGUUCUGCUUCCAGUGUUUAGUAAUGAGUUAAACAUUUUGGCUAUAUUUGUCUCUGAAGCUAUAAUUUCAAUUAAUCAUUAUGUAUAGCAAUAAUAACAAGUAAAACAAAAAGAAGAAUUUUUUGUUUCUAUGGUAAUUAUGUUGGGUGCUUUGGAUCCUCCCAAUAAAGUUGACUUCCUAAAAUAAUUACACUUGAAUUAGGUAUAGAGAAGCUAAUUGUAACAAAUUGAAAGUUACUGUAAAUCUUCUAAUCGUAGUUCUCUGCAAGUGUACUUAAGUUAUUGCUCCACUUGAAAUAAAUGAAAACUGGAAAUCUGAGGUGAUGAAUUAUGGGUCCCUUUUAUGUAAGAAAGAUGACAAGGAAAUCUAAUCUGCUGAGUUAUACUAAAAUAAAAUACCUUGGCCUGGGAUCAAAUAUAGGUGAAAGAAUUAACAUUUAUGUUUUUUAAUUAAGAUAAAAUGUACAAGUUUUAUGUACAUAUUUUAUGAUUUCCUGAUAUAACAAAAAGUGUUGAUAAAAGCACCCAAUACUGAUUCUAAUGACAUUUGAUUAGCAUUAAAGAGUUGCUAUUAU